CUGGAACAGAGCAUGUGGUGACUGAUGGAGAGCAUCAUAAGGAAGGUUCUGAAACAGAGCAUGAGGAUCAUAGUGAACCCACAACUUCAGAGACAGACUCCACAGAAUCUUUUCAAGAAGCAAUCUCAGUAACUAAACUGGCACCACCUUCUCCACCACCGCCACCACCGUCUCCCUCACCAUCAUUUCUCAAUAAGAAAGCUACUCCUCUCUCACAGCCACCUCCAUCGUCACCACAGCCAGGAAGAAAAACUCUUUCUCCUCCACCACCGCCACCACCUUCAAGAAGACAUGACUCUGGAGGUAAUAGUCCGACCACGCCGGCACCUCCAGCACCACCGGGCAGCGGAAGAACCUUGCGUGGAAAGAGAACAACUAGCAAACUUAGAAGAUCAGCACAGAUUGCUAAUCUCUAUUGGGUUCUCAAAGGGAAGCUUGAAGGCCGCGGCGUCGAAGGGAAGCCGUCAAAAGCAAGUAAAGGGCAAAACAAUGUUCCAGAUAAGUCUCCUGUUAAAGGUGCUAGAUCAGGAAUGGCUGAUGCACUUGCAGAGAUGACAAAAAGGUAAAAGACUUGCGUCACAAGUCAUCUCUUUAUGUCUUUUGAGUUUUUGACUCUUUUGUUUUUGUGUCACAGGUCGAGUUACUUCCAGCAAAUCGAAGAAGAUGUUCAGAAAUACGCAAAAUCAAUCGAAGAGUUGAAAUCUUCAAUACAAAAAUUUCAGACAAAAGACAUGAAAGAGUUGCUCGAGUUUCAUAGCAAAGUGGAAUCUGUUCUUGAGAAACUAACCGAUGAAACACAAGUACGUUGUCUUCAUGUCUGUUAGUGAUAUAAUAUUUAUAUAUAUGGUUCUAUAAACUAAACUUGGUUUGGCUCUCUAGGUUCUUGCGAGGUUUGAAGGUUUCCCUGAGAAGAAACUAGAAGCCAUAAGAACAGCUGGUGCCGUGUACAAGAAGUUAGAUGGGAUUCUAGUUGAGCUCAAGAACUGGAAGAUUGAGCCGCCACUAAACGAUCUUCUCGACAAGAUUGAGCGUUACUUCAACAAAUUCAAAGGAGAAAUCGAAACGGUGGAACGAACAAAAGAUGAAGAAGCUAAAAUGUUCCAGAGACACAACAUUAAUAUCGAUUUCGAAGUUCUUGUCCAAGUCAAAGAAACAAUGGUUGAUGUUUCAUCAAACUGCAUGGAGUUAGCAUUAAAGGUAUAUAUCACUGUUCAAGAGUAUGCUUCUUUUGUUCUUUAUCGGCAAAAAUCCCUAAUUUAUUUAUGUAGUUUAGCGUGGAAAAUUCGUCGUAUCCAGACAGCUAAUUUCUGGAAAAAAAAUCAACUGAUAUGAUGAAGUUUCGGGAGCUUUUACCUGUAGAUUGGAUUUGCAUCACCUAAAGAUUUCAAUAUGUCACACACACAACAUCAUGCAUGAGUCAUAGUAUCGACAUAAUCCAUCAAUUAAUUCAAGUGCCUGGAUACGAGUCGUACGACGUUGACUAGUAAAACCAAGUCGAGUGGAAAAUGUAUUUGCCUGACAAUACACUUUGAAUUGACUUAUAAAAUUAUAUCUUACAUAUCAAAAUACCAUCUAGAUAUUUCAAUAUCGACUGCGAGUCUAUUACGAUACUCGUUUUGAGUAGUGAUCAGUGUUCACAUUUUAUGAUCAAUUCUAUAUAUGAUAUUGUGUUAUUGAUUUAAUAAUUUCUAAAUACUAGUUAGAAUUUGAUAUUAGUUUUUAUUUACUACAUAUUUUUUUUUAAAAAAAUGAAACGUUUUCAGAUUCAAAGUAAAAAUACUUAAAAUAUAAACGAGCCUUGUUAUUUUUAAUGGAUGUGUACCACUUUUUUGCUCCAAAAAAGGAAGUCCUUGUUUGAAAUGAAAUCAUCACUACAAUGUACAAUCAGAUCGUUUUCGAUGGUUCUCCGGACCGAACACAAUUGCUAUGUUUUUAUCUCAAUAGUACUUUGUGUUUGGCUCAAAAGCUCAGAAGUUUAUUCACAUUUCUCUUCCUCUGUUUUUGUAUAUACAGUAUAGUAACAUGCUUAUUUUUCUUCUUCUUACAGUUCCUUUCUUCUUGCAUUUCUCAGUUCGUUGAGUUGAAUAUAUAAUUGAACUUGCUAGACCUAAUUUAGAAACUCCAAUUAUAAUCAACCGCUGAAAGAAAACAUAAGAAACCUAAGAAUAACAGCUAUGCUUCGAUUGAUUUAGCUCCUAUGAAUGACAAUUUUAAACCUUAUCUACUCUCUCCCUGCUUGUGCAAUUUUUAGCAAAACCUUCAGGAGAAGAAUUAACAGUGAUUAUAAUAGUCAACGAUUCCUAUCAUUUGAAACUUGUCUAAUAAUAACCAAAAGAGCUACAUCCAAAGAGAGAGAGAGAUCAUCUGCUGAAAAGGGUUGAAGAAAAGCAAUUCUUUCUUUCUUCGCACGUCUUCUUUUAAAAGAAUUACCUGAAAACAUAUUCAUCAAGAAAGAGAACUCUCUUUCUAAUGGAUUCUCCUGAUUAAAUCCUCUUUUGGUUGAGAAAUAAAUUUCUCGACUUCAUUACUCGCAAUGUCGAGCGGGAGGCUUUGCGGCUUCAAGCCAAUAACGUUCUGUCGCAAGCUCACAAGAUUGCAGGUUUGUCUUUUUACAAUAUAUGCCUCAAUUGUUUGUAUUAAACUGUAAAUGAAAACUCGAAUACAAACAAAAAGGUUGUAGUGUACUGUUUUCGUUGCAUUUUUCAGAAAUGUGUUUUCUAACAUUUGAAUUUUUUUUUCAAAUUGUUUUUGCAUGUAAAAUAUGCAAACGUUGACAUUUGCAUGUCAAUAAUAUAUACCCUAAUUUCUUCACUAUCACGUUUGCUUUUGCCUUAAAAUGCUAAAAUUCUAUUAAAGACAAGAUUUUUGAUUUGUUCGACUUUUACAUGUUUAAAGUUUAUUAAGGCUAUCCAAACUAUUUAAUUAAAUAAAAAAAGUUAUUAAGACUAAGAUUAUCAUUAUACUGAAACAAUCAAGGGUUUCUGAUGUUUUUAGGUUGCAAGAGGGCUUGCUCUAAAGAAACUUAUCAAGGGCAAACACGAUUUUAGACGUGCAUCAACAUCAAAGAACAAUGUCGAAAAAAAGAAGAGUAAAAAGAUCAAAAGCACAGCUUCACAGACACCUUCCGUUGCAGAAGCUUCUCCAAAGAGCUUCAAAUCUCCAAAACAAGCUACUGCUUCAGGCAGCGCGGUGUCUCCUUUGUCGGUACAGAAGAAACCAAACACACCGAGACACAACGAUUUCGAAGGUUCUUCACCAAAAUGUACAGCAAAUUUCAUAUUAAUGGUGGAACUGAGAAAAAACAUCUUCUCUUUCAGAGAUAUGAUUGACUUGCCUUCUCUUGAUGGUUCUCUAUCUGUCACCGAGGUGAUCAUUUCUCUUGACAUAACAUAUUAUUAUAUUAAGUAUUUAAAACUUGGGGCCAAGACGAAUAUUUCGUCCUGAUUUUAUCAAAAUUCUUCUUAUGUAUUUUUAUGUUUGUUUUGUAGAUCAUAACACAUACAAUGAAGGAUCUGCAAAAGCUUUCUCCAGAGAUUGUAACCAUUAACCAAUCUUUUGACAUGGAAGGAGCUGAGAUGGAUAAGGUACACAGAAGGGGUUUAAACAGUUUAUGAGUUCCAUAAUAAACAUUACUUUGCAAGAAAAAGAAAAAAAAGAAGUAAAUAAUAAUUUUUGAGUUAGGGUUAUUUGUUUUACUUGAUGAGUCUUGUUGAUCUGAUUGAUUGACUCCCAGAAAUGCCCCAAAAACAGAUGUUGAUUUUCUUCUACGAGGAUCUCAGAGCCAUUGGUGAUUCUUGGAUUAUGGAUAGUGACUGGAUUUAUCGGUCCAAGUACAGGAACAGUGGAGUUGGCAAGAACAAGUCAGAUCGUCUUGGUUUGUUUACUACAACCAACCAACACUUUGUUUGAAGGAUCUUGUUGAUAAACAACACUCUUCUUGAACUUUUCUUUUUGUUUCUCUUUGCAGUGGAACAUGUUUUAGCAGCUCUUGAUGGACUAAUCAAGAUGACAAAAGAAAGAUUUGGUAUGAUGGAUCUUGACUCUGAUGGAAGAAAGAGUUUUAAAGGUGUUCCAUCAGAAGCAAGAAGAAGCUUUAGAAGAUCUGUGUCCUAUUCAGAAAGCAACAACUCUUUUUUCCCUUCUCCACUAACACCGAGAUCGGUUAUUCCCGGGACAAUGAUGUCUAGUAGUAGCUCAACAUCUCCGAGUCUUUGGAACUUAAGAGCUCAAGCUUUGGAUAAGUUAAGCCCUGUUGAUUUGAAGCAGCUCGCGAUGCGGAUACUGUCGCGUAGAGACUCAGACAGCCUUCAAGAUCUUGAUCUCAAGAAUAUUAUAGAAGAAGAACAAGAAGAGAGUGAGAAAUUAGGAGAGGACGAUGAAGAUAACGACUCCUCUGUUUCAGAAACAGAGGAUCAUAGCAAAAGUUCUGAAACAGAGCAUGAGACUGAAGGAGAGCAUCAUAUUGAAAGUUCUGGAACAGAGCAUGUGGUGACUGAUGGAGAGCAUCAUAAGGAAGGUUCUGAAACAGAGCAUGAGGAUCAUAGUGAACCCACAACUUCAGAGACAGACUCCACAGAAUCUUUUCAAGAAGCAAUCUCAGUAACUAAACUGGCACCACCUUCUCCACCACCGCCACCACCGUCUCCCUCACCAUCAUUUCUCAAUAAGAAAGCUACUCCUCUCUCACAGCCACCUCCAUCGUCACCACAGCCAGGAAGAAAAACUCUUUCUCCUCCACCACCGCCACCACCUUCAAGAAGACAUGACUCUGGAGGUAAUAGUCCGACCACGCCGGCACCUCCAGCACCACCGGGCAGCGGAAGAACCUUGCGUGGAAAGAGAACAACUAGCAAACUUAGAAGAUCAGCACAGAUUGCUAAUCUCUAUUGGGUUCUCA
RNAcentral lists this long non-coding RNA (4897 nucleotides) under Brassica napus (rape). RNAcentral's name for it is "long non-coding RNA (BNAP_LNC022979)". Lineage: Eukaryota; Viridiplantae; Streptophyta; Magnoliopsida; Brassicales; Brassicaceae. The record is from RNAcentral.